Molecule: ribosomal RNA, 253 nt
Filed under: uncultured bacterium
Lineage: Bacteria
Description: partial 16S ribosomal RNA
Rfam family: Bacterial small subunit ribosomal RNA
Source: RNAcentral
UACGGGGGGGGCAAGCGUUGUUCGGAAUUACUGGGCGUAAAGGGCUCGUAGGCGGCCAACUAAGUCAGACGUGAAAUCCCUCGGCUUAACCGGGGAACUGCGUCUGAUACUGGAUGGCUUGAGUGUGGGAGAGGGAUGCGGAAUUCCAGGUGUAGCGGUGAAAUGCGUAGAUAUCUGGAGGAACACCGGUGGCGAAGGCGGGUCUCUGGGCCGAUACUGACGCUGAGGAGCGAAAGCGUGGGGAGCGAACAGG